RNAcentral lists this ribosomal RNA (693 nucleotides) under uncultured bacterium. RNAcentral's name for it is "bacterial SSU rRNA". It matches the Rfam family "Bacterial small subunit ribosomal RNA", at positions 140 to 851 of the family's 1533-position model. The record is from RNAcentral.
GGGACAACAGUUGGAAACGACUGCUAAUACCGCAUAAGCGCACAGCUUCGCAUGAAGCAGUGUGAAAAACUCCGGUGGUACAAGAUGGACCCGCGUCUGAUUAGCUGGUUGGUGAGGUAACGGCCCACCAAGGCAACGAUCAGUAGCCGGCCUGAGAGGGUGAACGGCCACAUUGGGACUGAGACACGGCCCAAACUCCUACGGGAGGCAGCAGUGGGGAAUAUUGCACAAUGGGGGAAACCCUGAUGCAGCAACGCCGCGUGAGUGAAGAAGUAUUUCGGUAUGUAAAGCUCUAUCAGCAGGAAAGAAAAUGACGGUACCUGACUAAGAAGCCCCGGCUAACUACGUGCCAGCAGCCGCGGUAAUACGUAGGGGGCAAGCGUUAUCCGGAUUUACUGGGUGUAAAGGGAGCGUAGACGGUUUUGCAAGUCUGAAGUGAAAGCCCGGGGCUUAACCCCGGGACUGCUUUGGAAACUGUAGAACCAGAGUGCAGGAGAGGUAAGUGGAAUUCCUAGUGUAGCGGUGAAAUGCGUAGAUAUUAGGAGGAACACCAGUGGCGAAGGCGGCUUACUGGACUGUAACUGACGUUGAGGCUCGAAAGCGUGGGGAGCAAACAGGAUUAGAUACCCUGGUAGUCCACGCCGUAAACGAUGAUUACUAGGUGUUGGUGGGUAUGACCCAUCGGUGCCGCAG